CCUACGGGGGGCUGCAGUGAGGAAUAUUGGUCAAUGGGCGGGAGCCUGAACCAGCCAAGUCGCGUGAGGGAAGACGGUCCUAUGGAUUGUAAACCUCUUUAGGCGGGGAGCAAUGCCGGGCACGUGUGCCCGGAGGGAGAGUACCCGCAGAAUAAGCAUCGGCUAACUCCGUUCCAGCAGCCGCGGUAAUACGGAGGAUGCGAGCGUUAUCCGGUUUUAUUGGGUUAAAGGGGUGCGGAGGCGGAUUUUUAUGUCAGCGGUAAAAUGUCCGGGCUCAACCCGGGCCGGCCGUUGAAACUGGGGAUCUUGAGUGGGCGAGAAGUGUGCGGAAUGCGUGGUGUAGCGGUGAAAUGCAUAGAUAUCACGAGGAACUCCGGUUGCGAAGGCGGCAUACCGGCGCCCAACUGACGCUGAGGCACGAAAGCGUGGGGAUCGAACAGGAUUAGAUACCCCUGUAGUC
RNAcentral lists this ribosomal RNA (460 nucleotides) under uncultured bacterium. RNAcentral's name for it is "partial 16S ribosomal RNA". It matches the Rfam family "Bacterial small subunit ribosomal RNA", at positions 338 to 795 of the family's 1533-position model. The record is from RNAcentral.